GUGCCACUAGCUUAGCUGGAUAAAGCACUCGGCUACGAACCGAGAGACCGGGAGUUCGAAUCUCUCGUGGCACGCCA
RNAcentral lists this transfer RNA (77 nucleotides) under Tissierellia bacterium. RNAcentral describes it as "tRNA-Arg". It matches the Rfam family "tRNA". Rfam says of the family: Transfer RNA (tRNA) molecules are approximately 80 nucleotides in length. Their secondary structure includes four short double-helical elements and three loops (D, anti-codon, and T loops). The record is from RNAcentral. Lineage: Bacteria; Bacillati; Bacillota; Tissierellia.